Long non-coding RNA from Oxyura jamaicensis (ruddy duck), 978 nucleotides. RefSeq lists it as uncharacterized. Lineage: Eukaryota; Metazoa; Chordata; Aves; Anseriformes; Anatidae. The transcript has 11 exons. The record is from RefSeq and is a predicted model, not a curated record.
AAAGGGGCCAAUAUGGGACAAAGGGGUCCGGAUAUGAGGUAACGGGGGUGUUUUGGGGUAAAAAAGGCCCAAUAUGGGACAAUGGGGGCCCAAUAUGGGAUUAUGGGGUCCUGAUAAAAGGUAACAGGGGUGUUUUGGGGUAAAAAGGGCCCAAUAUGGGACAAAGGCGGCCCAAUACGGGACAAUGGGGUCCUGAUAUGAAGUAACGGGGCCGUUUUGGGGUAAAAAUGGCCUAAUAUGGGACAAUGGGGGCCCAGUAGGGGAUUAUGGGGUCCUGAUAUGAGGUAGUGGGGCCGUUUUGGGGUAAAAAGGGCCCAAUAUGGGACAAUGGGGGCCCAAUAUGGGAUUAUGGGGUCCUGAUAAAAGGUAACAGGGGUGUUUUGGGGUAAAAAGGGCCCAAUAUGGGACAAAGGCGUCCUGAUACAAGGUAAUGGGGCUGUUUUGGGGUAAAAAGGGCCCAAUAUGGGACAAUGGGGGCCCAAUAUGGGAUUAUGGGGUCCUGAUAUGAGGUAAUGGGGGUGUUUUGGGGUAAAAAGGGCCCAGUCUGGGACAAUGGGGUCUUGAUAGGAGGUAACUGGGUUGUUUUGGGGUAAAAAGGCCCAAUAUGGGACUAUGGGAUCCUGAUAUGAGGUAAAGGAGUUGUUUUGGGGUAAAAAAAAGAGCUCAAUAUGGGAUUAUGGGGUCCUGAUACGAGGUAACGGGGCUGUUUUGGGGUAAAAAGGGCCCAAUAUGGGAUUAUGGGAUGCCGAUAUGAGGUAAUGGGGCUGUUUUGGGGUAAAAGGGGCCCAAUCUGGGAUAACGGGGUCCUGUUAGGGGAUAAUGGGGCCGUUUUGGGGUAUGGGACAAUGGGGUCCGAAUAUGAGGUGACGGGGGUAUUUUGGGGUAAAAAGGGCCCAAUAUGGGACAAUGGGUUCCGGAUAUUGGCGAUAAUGGGGAUAUUUUGGGAGGUAACGGGGCCAUUUUGGGGUAAAAAGAGCC